Long non-coding RNA from Polypterus senegalus (gray bichir), 1074 nucleotides. RefSeq lists it as uncharacterized. The transcript is spliced from 4 exons. Lineage: Eukaryota; Metazoa; Chordata; Cladistia; Polypteriformes; Polypteridae. The record is from RefSeq and is a predicted model, not a curated record.
UCACAAGCAUCCCUAAACAAUGUCUUUGGUAGGCUGGUAUCUGUAAAGAACAUCUGUGCAUAAGAUCAGCUUACAAAUGUGAAAUGGACUUUUCAGCACUGGAGCAGCAAAGGCACAGGACUUCUGAACCUUUAUAAAUUCGGAAUUUCUACUGUCCAGACCAAGAAGACAUAAGGUAUUGUGUGGUGUUUAUAUCCGAAGUUAUGAUACUAAUUAAAAGGAUGGAUGUUUAGGGCCACUUUACAUUAUAUGAAAAGAUCCAUGGAUGAUCCAGUGAGGAUUUUCUGCUAUGGAAAACAGCAUUACUUCUGCAACAGGAAAACAUUCACAUCUGUAUCUUUGCCACAAGCACCCGUUUCCAGACAUGGAGGUUUGAAUUGACGUAUGAUGAAAUUACAACAGCGGUUUUACUUUAUCUACAGGGAACCAAGUAUUAAGGAAGGCUACACAUACUACUGAGAGUUGCUACACUUCACAAGCAUACUGUAAAUGGGCCCCUGAUGUACCAAAGAUGAAAAUGUGGAAGUUGAAGAGAAAAUUCGAGCCAAAAGAGGAUCAAGAAGAUCUACUCACUUCACCAAAACUUCUGCAGAUGAAUAGGAGCUCUCCAUGACAACAACAGGGACAGACCUCACCACCAUACUACUGACAUGUCAUCCUCUGCCAUUUAAGGAGAAGUCCCAUUCCUUCGGCCCGGACAGGAUAUGAGGAAGAUCAACAUUGGAUGUCAGCAUUCAUUGUAGAACCAGCCACUGAGUGUGCAACAUCACCAUAUCAGCAGCCACUCAAUAUGGAGAGAAUGUUAUGCACGGUCAUCAUUUGAUUUUGAACUUUUCUUGAUUUAUUUUCUCCUCAUUAUCCUCAUUUCCUCUCUCUUGUGUUGGUGUUUUUUUCUUAAAGGCUAUAGAGAGACAUUUUCUAUUUGUAAACUGUUGAGAUGUAAAUGAUACUGGAUUGUUUUACCUUUUGACAGUCCUUUAUGAAGUGCCUAUUUAAUAAAGCACCCACUACGUAAAAAUUACUGUAAUAACAAUUAUAAUAAAGCAGACAAGCUUGUAAUUAUAAUUAAUUCUG